RNAcentral lists this ribosomal RNA (327 nucleotides) under Triticum aestivum (bread wheat). RNAcentral describes it as "partial small subunit ribosomal RNA". The record is from RNAcentral. Lineage: Eukaryota; Viridiplantae; Streptophyta; Magnoliopsida; Poales; Poaceae.
AUGACAAUCUCAAUUAUCAUGAAGGAUCUGUAUUCACAUAGAAAUAUGAGAACACCGCUUAGGAAAGGGAUGGAAUCCACAUUUGACUUUGAAGCAACUCGAAUACCACAGCUCAAAACAAAACAAAGGAUUGGCUUGCAGAAUAAGCCAGAACAAAUAUAUGUUAGAGAUUUCGCCCGAAGUUUUCGUGGUGGGGCCUACACGGGCUCAUCGUACAUCACCAUCAUGUACAAGGCAGUGCACAUGACAUACGAAGCGUCCCCGAGUUGGCAUAGCCAAGGACUCUUUAAGACACAACGAGACCACUGUAAAACCAACCGUGGAUAG